This 3600-nucleotide long non-coding RNA is filed under the name Equus asinus (donkey). Its description in RNAcentral is "lncRNA (ENSEASG00005038479.1)". Lineage: Eukaryota; Metazoa; Chordata; Mammalia; Perissodactyla; Equidae. The record is from RNAcentral.
CAGCUUGUCUGUCAUGCAGGCCACUGGUCACUCAGGGUUGUCAACUGGUCAUCAGCAAGGCUCAAUGUGAGAGAGCUGUUGGUGUGAAGAUGGUGGGAAGGAUGGCUCCUGUUGGACUUCUCCUAGUCUUUCAAAGGGGUUUCCUUUUGAGGAAACUGGAUUGUAUUUUGAGUCAGCGAUUGAAACCUAGAGGCAGGAGGCUGGGUCAAGGUUUGGGGCCUUAUCUCGUCUCAGGCACCUCUUCCUGGGCGUCAACUGUCUCCUGCAGAAGAACUUGGGGCAGGAUAUUUUGAGAAAGAGAGUGAGGGGAGCUCCUGAUUCAUGUACAGGGCACUAUCUGGAGGUCUCAGGUGUUUAGAGAUCUCUGUCCUCACAGAACCAAACACAUUCCUAUCCAAGAAUCAUGAUGCAUCAGUGUUGUGCCUCUGGACAAGCCUCUUAAAAUCUCUAAAUUUCAAUGCUGUGAACUACAUAAGGAUCUUAACCUGAUGAAUACCAAAAGAAAACUGGUUCCUCACUUUAAGAAGAUAUUCGUCUCACCCCAAGCGGUGGAUCAGAAAAAAGGAUAUCCUACCACACCCCAAGGUGCACCCUACAAACAAGUCAGCUGAAGAUCCCCUGACGGCCUAUUGGAGGAGCUUCCUCAUGGUGCAGCAGAGGAAGAGGCCCCAUGUGGUGCCAAGGUGGCCUCGAGAACCAGUGAAAAUGGUAUGUGUUUUAGAAUCACUCACUUGCUGAGGAAAAAUCUAGAAGGAAAUAAAGGUGGCUUUCUUGAAAGUCACCCUAUUUCCAGCUUCCUACUGGGAAUGAGGGUUGGGGAUGUGAUGUAAGGGACCGAUUUUCUAGGUAAAGGACUAUGGCCUCGUUCUACAAUCACUGGGGUGGCUGUGUUCCGUUUAGGUGGUGUGGGUCUGCGUAUAUGGAGCUCUGGGGGUGUCUAUGUGUGAGUGUGUAGUGUGAUUGCGAAUGUGUGGGCAAUGUUUAUGGGUCCAGAGUGUGUGUUUCCCCAGCAGGUACAUGUCGUUACACAUUGCAAUCGCCAGCAUCACCCUUCUCAAAGAAACUCCCAUCACCAUUGCACACUUUACAUACAUACCUCAUUCAACCCUCACCACAGCCAUGCCUGGGUGUGGGUUACUAUCCCCACUCCUCAGAGAGAGAAACUGAGGUGCAGAAAUGAAUGAUCCAAGCUCAGGAGCUCCUACAUGGAAGAAACAAAAUGUGAACCCAUUCUACCAUUCGGAGGAAUGGGUGAGCCUCUCUCUUUAGUAACUUUCUUGCUGAUGUUAGUGUCUCUAAAGAUUGGAUUGUCGACAGAAGAUAUGACUCGAGCAGCGAGGAUGACGACUCUCCAGGUAGGAGCAUCACUCAAGUCGGGUCCAAUGGGAGAGGGCUCCUGGAGCAGUCGGGUUACACCUGCUGCUUUGUGGACUGAGGAAGGAAGCACGAAAUCAGAAAGAAGGAGGAAAUAUGUGUCCUUUUCAUAUUUUAAUGACACAAGAAUAAGACCUAUCCCGUCUAUUGGCUUUGUGUGUACUGUUUGUACUGUACAGAGUAGACGCUCUGGACUGCUGACCUGCACUCAUCACUCAGCCACGGGAUCAUUAGUCACGGAGCAGGGGAGUUCCAGCAUCCAUAUACAUGCCUGGAAAUACUAGAUUCUACAGAGGUCCCAAACGCUGCCCAUCAUUAUACGGUGGCCUCAGUGGUAACGUGAUCUCGGGCAGCUACAGGUGCAUUUAACAGCCGACUUUGGCAUUGUCAUUAAUGUGAAAUGCACACAGAGAGCCCGCAUGCUCCCAGUCAGCACACAGAUUCUGAGAGGUGUGAGGCCCCACGUAGGACAAUGUCAGUCAACAGGUGUCAGUGCUGGAUUCUCUCAGCCUAUGGCCGGAAGCAGAUAAGAAUUAGGGAGAUAUUUUAGUGUAUUUGAUAAUAUUAUCACUGUAAGCCCUAGAAAUGUCAGAUUAUAUGAGCUUCGUAUCCUAGGACAGUGACUCAUAAGAACUCAAUAUGCUGCUUUGUUCUUAGCCUGGACUCUGCUUCUUAUUUCUGUCCUGCUCCUCUCUUUUACCUUCCUUCAUCCACCAAGGAGGAUGGGCCAUACUAGCUCAGUCCUUUCUUUUUCUUUUCUUUUCUUUUUUUUUUUUUUUUGAGGAAGAUUAGCCCUGAGCUAACAUCUGCUGCCAAUCCUCCUCUUUUUGCUGAGGAAGACUGGCCCUGAGCUCAGUCCUUUCUUGUUAACCAAUCGCAGCCUUACACUUUUGCCCCAUGUCCACAUGAACUCCUGAGCAAUGUCACUAAUGACUGACAGUGACUCUGUGUCCUCCUAGCUCCCACUGAGGGCCUGGUGGAGGAGCUUCCCAGGGACAGGGCAGAGGAAGAGAUCCCAUCUUAUAACAAGGUGUGGUCACAGAUCUUUGAGAUGGAAAUGUUGCUUUCUUGGUCUCUUUCUUUCUUUUUUAAUUCAAUUGAAUUUGCACAUGAAAACUCGAACACAUGCAUUAGAGAUGGUAUUUAUGCUUUCCCUGGGGAAUAUUGAGUCUCUUGCUGAUGACACCUGAUUCAAGAGGCCAUUCGCGAAUGGCAGGAUCAGGUUAUGGACUCUGUGUAGGGGCCUUUCCUCAGCAAAAAUUUUCUCUCAGUGAAUUAAGAAUUUCAUCAUUGGCAGCCAAUAUGGACUUGAGAGGUACACGGUUCAGGAAAAACUCAUGCCUUUCUCUCCGGUAUCCUCUACACUGUCUUUGGGGGCCUUUGACUGGACAGUUUCCCAUCAGUUUUUCUAAUGUCAUCAACAGGACAAAAGAUCCACGCAAACAAUACACAGCAUGAUCUGGCCUCAUAGUAUUUCCUUUUCUGCAAUUGCAGGUGGCCUCCGGAGUGAGCGAAAAUGAUUGGAUUGUCGACAGAAGAUAUGACUCGAGCAGCGAGGAUGAUGACUCUCCAGGCCACCCCAUCACCGUCACCGCCCUUGUGCACGCGGAAGCCUGUCUUACAGACUCUGAGGAUUAGGACCAGGGACCAGCCGUCUGCAUGAAUCUGACUCCAGAAAUCCUCUUGUCCUGGAGUCAAGAGAACGAAUCAAGGAAGGAAAAGGGGCUGAAAGAGAACGAGAAGAGGAAAUGUGAGUGUGGCGAGCGGAGGAAGAAGAGCCAACGGCAGAUAAGCGCACUUCAAGGGGAACCAGAAACCCCAAGGAGAGCGCUGGUGUGGCCGCUGGCGCUCGCGGCCGUGCAGGGACAGAGAUGAUGGUUAAGGUCCUGCUGGCAGGUGAAGCCUGUCCCGACAACAUGCCCAGGAAGUGGAGACCCGGUCCGUGGACGGCCCUGAGUUUGCUAGGCUGAGCCCUCCACUGGCUCCGGAAUUUGGAGGAGAGGGCUGGAGGUGCCCACAGGGCCGCCACGUGCCUGACCCCAGGAGGUGCAGGUCACACCGUGUUCUUUGUGAAAGGUAUCCCUGCAGGGGCUCCACAUGCUCGUCUUGCAGGACCCAGUCCUGCCCUCCCGACCCUCUCAAGGUGAACAGGAGCACCUCAGCUAGUCCAAGUGAUGAGACAGUGUGGGGAGGCCUGACUGACCCACCCCCCCUCCACACCCCCCA